Salvelinus fontinalis (brook trout) is the source of this 647-nucleotide long non-coding RNA. RefSeq lists it as uncharacterized. The transcript has 2 exons. The record is from RefSeq and is a predicted model, not a curated record. Lineage: Eukaryota; Metazoa; Chordata; Actinopteri; Salmoniformes; Salmonidae.
UAAACAAAAAGCUAGAAAAACAAGGGCUAAGCGAAGAAGAUAAACUGAAAUAGCAGUUGUGGUUAACGCUGGAAGCUGGGCGCACCCAAUCUAUGAUGUAGUAGAUGAAGACACCCGAGGCUCUGCUCAGAAAGCAAAGAAUCAACAUAAAAAUAAGCCAAAAAAACGGAGCCUCAGAUCUGAUAUAAAGAUUAUCCGCUUGUGAAGAAGGCCUAAAGAAAAUAAUGGGCCAAUCAUAUAGAUUGGUUGCCAUGACAAAUUUGACGCUAUGCGACCAACUGCUGGAGACUUCCUUCAGCAAAGAUGUCUGACAAAAAUACUAGGACCGAAGCAAAUGUUAUUGACUCCCGAGAAAACAACUAAACCAGGCUGUCGUCUUGUGAAACAGUGGAUGUAAGGAAUAUAACUUAGCUAGCUAAAGUUUUACUGAAAAUGUAAUGUACAUUUUGUAUGCUUGCCUUGCUGGUAUUUGCCAUGAAAUGCAGCUGAAGUAAUGUAGCUAGCUAACCAUUGUCUUGCUUAUUGUGUAGUGGAGGAUAAAAAUACCUGUAUGCCUAUGGAUGUGUAGCUAGCUAUAAAAAAUAUAGCUAAGAAUAUAUUCACUGAUCAUGUGCUCUACCUUGGCAAAUAAAGGUGUGGUUCAGGUA